This 1248-nucleotide ribosomal RNA is filed under the name metagenome. Its description in RNAcentral is "bacterial LSU rRNA". It matches the Rfam family "Bacterial large subunit ribosomal RNA", at positions 1634 to 2874 of the family's 2925-position model. The record is from RNAcentral.
UUAUACGACCGUACCGCAAACCGACACUGGUGCGCGAGAUGAGUAUUCUAAGGCGCUUGAGAGAACUCAGGAGAAGGAACUCGGCAAAUUGACACCGUAACUUCGGAAGAAGGUGUGCCCUAUUAGUGUGUAGUGAACAACGAAGCAUGAAUGGGUUGCAAAAAAUCGGUGGCUGCGACUGUUUAUUAAAAACACAGCACUCUGCAAACACGAAAGUGGACGUAUAGGGUGUGACGCCUGCCCGGUGCUGGAAGAUUAAAUGAUGGGGUGCAAGCUCUUGAUUGAAGUCCCAGUAAACGGCGGCCGUAACAAUAACGGUCCUAAGGUAGCGAAAUUCCUUGUCGGGUAAGUUCCGACCUGCACGAAUGGCGUAACGAUGGCCACACUGUCUCCUCCUGAGACUCAGCGAAGUUGAAAUGUUUGUGAUGAUGCAAUCUCCCCGCGGAAAGACGGAAAGACCCCAUGAACCUUUACUGUAGCUUUGUAUUGGACUUUGAACAGAUCUGUGUAGGAUAGGUGGGAGGCUUUGAAGCAGGGUCGCUAGAUCUUGUGGAGCCAACGUUGAAAUACCACCCUGGUGUGUUUGAGGUUCUAACCUAGGUCCAUUAUCUGGAUCGGGGACAGUGCAUGGUAGGCAGUUUGACUGGGGCGGUCUCCUCCCAAAGCGUAACGGAGGAGUUCGAAGGUACGCUAGUUACGGUCGGACAUCGUGACGAUAGUGCAAUGGCAUAAGCGUGCUUAACUGCGAGACUGACAAGUCGAGCAGAUGCGAAAGCAGGACAUAGUGAUCCGGUGGUUCUGUAUGGAAGGGCCAUCGCUCAACGGAUAAAAGGUACUCUGGGGAUAACAGGCUGAUACCGCCCAAGAGUUCAUAUCGACGGCGGUGUUUGGCACCUCGAUGUCGGCUCAUCUCGUCCUGGGGCUGUAGCCGGUCCCAAGGGUAUGGCUGUUCGCCAUUUAAAGAGGUACGUGAGCUGGGUUUAAAACGUCGUGAGACAGUUUGGUCCCUAUCUUCCGUGGGCGCUGCAGAUUUGAGGAAGCCUGCUCCUAGUACGAGAGGACCGGAGUGGACACACCUCUGGUGUAUCGGUUGUCACGCCAGUGGCAUUGCCGAGUAGCUAAGUGUGGAAGAGAUAACCGCUGAAAGCAUCUAAGCGGGAAACUCGUUUCAAGAUGAGAUCUGCCGGGGCCUUGAGCCCCCUAAAGAGUCGUUCAAGACCAGGACGUUGAUAGGUCAGGUGUGGAAGC